Long non-coding RNA from Xiphias gladius (swordfish), 287 nucleotides. RefSeq lists it as uncharacterized. Lineage: Eukaryota; Metazoa; Chordata; Actinopteri; Istiophoriformes; Xiphiidae. The record is from RefSeq and is a predicted model, not a curated record. The transcript has 4 exons.
CAAAAAGAGUCCUGAUCCCUGUGGGGAGGAUGGGAGUACAGAUAUAGAUGAUCAGUGUCCAGGAACAAGCUUGGUUAAGAGGCCCUCACAGAAGAAGAAAAGAGGAAAACGGACCAAGGCUAUGGGGGCAAUGGUUGGGCGUUCUGAGCUCUUCUCCCCCAAAAAGAGUCCUGAUCCCUGUGGGGAGGAUGGGAGUACAGAUAUAGAUGAUCAGUGUCCAGGAACAAGCUUGGUUAAGAGGCCCUCACAGAAGAAGAAAAGAGGAAAACGGACCAAGGCUAUGGGGG